AAUAUUGGACACUGGGGGCAACCCAGAUCCAGCCAUGCCGCGUGUGUGAAGAAGGACUUCGGAUUAUAAAGCACUUUAAGUUGGGAGGAAGGGCUUUAGGCUAAUACCCUGAAGUUUUGACGUUACCAACAGAAUAAGCACCGGCUAACUCUGUGCCAGCAGCCGCGGUAAUACAGAGGGUGCAAGCGUUAAUCGGAAUUACUGGGCGUAAAGCGCGCGUAGGUGGUUCAGUAAGAUGGGUGUGAAAUACCCGGGCUUAACCUGGGAACUGCUUUCAUAACUGCUGGGCUAGAGUAUGGCAGAGGGUGGUGGAAGUUCCUGUGUAGCGGUGAAAUGCGUAGAUAUAGGAAGGAACACCAGUGGCGAAGGCGACUACCUGGACUGAUACUGACGCUGAGGUGCGAAAGCGUGGGGAGCAAAC
Molecule: ribosomal RNA, 421 nt
Filed under: uncultured bacterium
Lineage: Bacteria
Description: partial 16S ribosomal RNA
Rfam family: Bacterial small subunit ribosomal RNA
Source: RNAcentral